Molecule: ribosomal RNA, 629 nt
Filed under: Otidea tuomikoskii
Lineage: Eukaryota; Fungi; Ascomycota; Pezizomycetes; Pezizales; Pyronemataceae
Description: eukaryotic LSU rRNA
Rfam family: 5.8S ribosomal RNA (bases 235-388)
Source: RNAcentral
CUUCCGUAGGUGAACCUGCGGAAGGAUCAUUAAAAGAAUCUGUACUAAGCUUGGUUACAAGCCUAGACUUACAAUUCUAACACAUUCUGCGUACCAUUCCUGUUGCUUCCGUGGGGUGUGGAGCUGUCCUGCACAGCUUCGGCUGGCCAGUGGGCUGGUUCCCACGGGAGGUAUUCUACAAACCAUUUGUAUUUAUUUGCCUUCUGUCUGAAUCAUGUUAAUAACAAUUGUUAAAACUUUCAACAACGGAUCUCUUGGUUCUCGCAUCGAUGAAGAACGCAGCGAAAUGCGAUAAGUAGUGUGAAUUGCAGAAUUCAGUGAAUCAUCGAAUCUUUGAACGCACAUUGCGCCUCCUGGCAUUCCGGGAGGCAUGCCUGUUCGAGCGUCAUGAAGACCAUUUCAAGCUUUUUUGCUUGGUUUUGGAGGUUGAGCGUUGCCCGUGUGCUCGUUCCCCUUUGAAAUUUGCUGGCGGACUGCUCCAUGUUCCAUUUGGCGUUAUAGGAUAACUCUUUCGCUUGGACUCAUGAGGCUGUCCUGCCCAAUAACCCCCAAUUAAUCUGACGUUGACCUCGGAUCAGGUAGGGAUACCCGCUGAACUUAAGCAUAUCAAUAAGCGGAGGAAAAGAAAC